UACGGAGGGGGCUAGCGUUGUUCGGAAUUACUGGGCGUAAAGCGCGCGUAGGCGGACCUGCAAGUCGGGGGUGAAAGCCCGAGGCUCAACCUCGGAACUGCCCUCGAUACUGCGGGUCUCGAGUCCGGGAGAGGUGAGUGGAAUUCCUAGUGUAGAGGUGAAAUUCGUAGAUAUUAGGAAGAACACCAGUGGCGAAGGCGGCUCACUGGCCCGGUACUGACGCUGAGGCGCGAAAGCGUGGGGAGCAAACAGGG
This 254-nucleotide ribosomal RNA is filed under the name uncultured bacterium. RNAcentral describes it as "partial 16S ribosomal RNA". It matches the Rfam family "Bacterial small subunit ribosomal RNA", at positions 524 to 777 of the family's 1533-position model. The record is from RNAcentral.